UAGGGAAUCUUCCACAAUGGACGAAAGUCUGAUGGAGCAACGCCGCGUGAGUGAAGAAGGGUUUCGGCUCGUAAAGCACUGUUGUAUGGGAAGAACAGCUAGAAUAGGAAAUGAUUUUAGUUUGACGGUACCAUACCAGAAAGGGACGGCUAAAUAUGUGCCAA
This 164-nucleotide ribosomal RNA is filed under the name uncultured bacterium. RNAcentral describes it as "partial 16S rRNA". It matches the Rfam family "Bacterial small subunit ribosomal RNA", at positions 355 to 511 of the family's 1533-position model. The record is from RNAcentral.